UACGAAGGGGGCUAGCGUUGCUCGGAAUCACUGGGCGUAAAGGGUGCGUAGGCGGGUCUUUAAGUCAGGGGUGAAAUCCUGGAGCUCAACUCCAGAACUGCCUUUGAUACUGAAGAUCUUGAGUUCGGGAGAGGUGAGUGGAACUGCGAGUGUAGAGGUGAAAUGCGCAGAUAUCAGGAAGAACACCCGUGGCUAAGGCGGCUCUCUAGUACGGUACUGACGCUGAGACGCGAAAGCGUGGGGAGCGAACAGG
RNAcentral lists this ribosomal RNA (253 nucleotides) under uncultured bacterium. RNAcentral's name for it is "partial 16S ribosomal RNA". It matches the Rfam family "Bacterial small subunit ribosomal RNA", at positions 524 to 776 of the family's 1533-position model. The record is from RNAcentral.